This 460-nucleotide ribosomal RNA is filed under the name uncultured bacterium. RNAcentral's name for it is "partial 16S ribosomal RNA". It matches the Rfam family "Bacterial small subunit ribosomal RNA", at positions 338 to 795 of the family's 1533-position model. The record is from RNAcentral.
CCUACGGGUGGCAGCAGUGAGGAAUAUUGGUCAAUGGGCGCGAGCCUGAACCAGCCAAGUAGCGUGAAGGAUGACUGCCCUACGGGUUGUAAACUUCUUUUAUAAAGGAAUAAAGUGAGGCACGUGUGCCUUUUUGUAUGUACUUUAUGAAUAAGGAUCGGCUAACUCCGUGCCAGCAGCCGCGGUAAUACGGAGGGUCCGAGCGUUAUCCGGAUUUAUUGGGUUUAAGGGGAGCGUAGAUGGGUGGUUAAGUCAGUAGUGAAAGUUUGCGGCUCAACCGUAAAAUUGCAAUUGAUACUGGCAGGCUAGAGUACAGUUGAGGUAGGCGGAAUUCGUGGUGUAGCGGUGAAAUGCGUAGAUAGCACGAAGAACUCCGAUUGCGAAGGCAGCUUACUAAACAGCAACUGACAUUGAGGCUCGAAAGUGUGGGUAGCAAACAGGAUUAGAUACCCGAGUAGUC